GUGGACCAUGAAAUUGGGGUCAAGAGUCUAAUUUGGCUUUAAAAUUAGAAAGAUCAUAUCAUAAGCAACAAGUGUACUAAGUUUCAAGUUGAUUGGACUUCAGCUUCAUCAAAAACUACCUUGACCAAAAACUUAACCUGAAACUCCCACUUUCAUUUUCUAUGUUCAGUGGACCGUGAAAUUGGGGUCAAAAGUCUAAUUUGGCUUUAAAAUUAAAAAGAUCAUAUCAUAAGCAACAAG
Molecule: long non-coding RNA, 240 nt
Filed under: Mytilus galloprovincialis (Mediterranean mussel)
Lineage: Eukaryota; Metazoa; Mollusca; Bivalvia; Mytilida; Mytilidae
Source: RNAcentral